UUCGAAUUUAAAAUUUAAAAGUUAAAAUUUAAAGAUUCAAAAAUGAAUCUAAAAAUUAAAAUUUACAAAUAAAUUUAAAUUUAAAUAUUGAAUUUAAAAUUAAAAUAAAAAUUUGAUGUUUGGUCCAAAAUCAGAAUCAGAUUUUAAGAAGUUACUUUUUUCUGCUUCUAAUUUUUGGGUCUUCAAAAUCAAUUUUCUGAUUCUAAAAAAUAGAAUCAGAUUUUAAAAAUGAGGUUGCCUAACGCUUUAUGAAGCCGAAAAUCACUUUUUAAUCCAAAAGCGCUUUUUAAAAGCUAGGCCAAAUACCUCCUUAGUACGUGGCGCGACGCCACGUCGGUCUUUGUCGAUGGCCAAAAUAGUGCAACAGCUCAGCACGCGUCAACUAAUCAGGAGUACUGCUAGAGUGGGAAGGAGAAAGGAAUUGAUGUGGCUAGGAGCGAGGUGCGCGACCAGAAAAAUUUUAGAAUAUAUGUAUUAGUUAUAUUGUUAAUAUAGGAUCAUCAAUUAAUUAUAUUAUUUUUUUAAAUUAAUUCAUCACAUCAUAGUUAUUAAAAAAAUUUUUAUUAUUAUUUUUUCUAUAAAGAAGAGAUAUGAUUGGCUUUUAAUAGUUGACAUAGUGUUACUGAUUGAUAUAUAGUAGAAUCUCUCCCCGACUAGGCUACAAAGAUGACUCGGAUGAAACUGAUUAAUGAAAGUGGAGCAAAAACCGCGAUGCAUCUUGUCAGUUUCAUGCAUACAUUAUUUUCAUAUAUAUUGGCGACAUAUCAAUAUUUAGAUACCGUUUGAUUGGAUGUAAUUGUAUAUUCAGUAUAGUUAAAAUGAAUGUAGCUAAAAAUAUAGCAACCGUAAGUAUAACUGUUUGUAUGGUCAUGUGUGGAUACAAUUGUUGCAGUUAUAUAUAUUUUAUCUGCUUGAUAAAGUUUUUUUUUUUUUUUUGAGAGAAAUAGGUAGCACGCUACCCGCUUCGUUUAUUUCAUUUAGAAAUAAACUUAGCUGGAAAUGUGAAUCAACUAGGAUUUGAACUUGGAUCUCGAGUACCAACCACCAAGCCCUUUGCCACUUGCUCUAGAGACGGUCGGUCUUAAUAAUGUAAAAUUAAUAAUUAUAUUUGUGAGUU
This 1117-nucleotide long non-coding RNA is filed under the name Ananas comosus (pineapple). Its description in RNAcentral is "long non-coding RNA (ACOM_LNC021508)". The record is from RNAcentral. Lineage: Eukaryota; Viridiplantae; Streptophyta; Magnoliopsida; Poales; Bromeliaceae.